UACGUAGGUGGCAAGCGUUGUCCGGAAUUAUUGGGCGUAAAGCGCGCGCAGGCGGUUAUGUAAGUCUGAUGAUAAAGCCCGGGGCUCAACCUCGGUUAGCAUUGGAAACUGUGUAACUUUAGAGCAGAAGAGGAAAGUGGUAUUCCACGUGUAGCGGGGAAAUGCGUAUAUAUGUGGAGGAACACCAGUGGAGAAGGCGUCUUUCUGGUCUGUAACUGACGCUGAGGCGCGAAAGCGUGGGGAGCAAACAGG
RNAcentral lists this ribosomal RNA (252 nucleotides) under uncultured bacterium. Its description in RNAcentral is "partial 16S ribosomal RNA". It matches the Rfam family "Bacterial small subunit ribosomal RNA", at positions 524 to 776 of the family's 1533-position model. The record is from RNAcentral.